This 382-nucleotide ribosomal RNA is filed under the name uncultured Synergistaceae bacterium. RNAcentral describes it as "bacterial SSU rRNA". It matches the Rfam family "Bacterial small subunit ribosomal RNA", at positions 1008 to 1382 of the family's 1533-position model. Lineage: Bacteria; Thermotogati; Synergistota; Synergistia; Synergistales; Synergistaceae. The record is from RNAcentral.
AGGACGCUUCCUUCGGGAAGCGAGCGUACACAGGUGCUGCAUGGCUGUCGUCGGCUCGUGUCGUGAGAUGUUGGGUUAAGUCCCGCAACGAGCGCAACCCCUGCAUUCAGUUGCCAUCGGGUAAUGCCGGGCACUCUGGAAGGACUGCCAUCGACAAGAUGGAGGAAGGUGGGGAGUGACGUCAAGUCAUCAUGGCCCUUAUGUCCAGGGCCGACACACGUGCUACAAUGGCCGGCACAACGGGAAGCGAGUUCGCGAGGACGAGCGGAUCCCUCAAAAGCCGGUCGCAGUUCGGAUUGAAGUCUGCAACUCGACUUCAUGAAGCUGGAAUCGCUAGUAAUCGUGGAUCAGCCAAGCCGCGGUGAAUACGUUCCCGGGCCUU